This 484-nucleotide ribosomal RNA is filed under the name uncultured bacterium. RNAcentral's name for it is "partial 16S ribosomal RNA". It matches the Rfam family "Bacterial small subunit ribosomal RNA", at positions 30 to 507 of the family's 1533-position model. The record is from RNAcentral.
AUUGAACGCUGGCGGCAUGCCUUACACAUGCAAGUCGAACGGUAACAGGUCUUUCUGGAUGCUGUCGAGUUGCGAACGGGUGAGUAAUUCAUCCGAACAUGCCUAGUCUUUGGGGAUAACUACUCUACAGAGUGGCUAAUACCGCAUGAGAUCUAUUUAUGAAACCAGGGGACCUUUGGGCCUUGUGCUACUAGCUCUCCCGAUGGCAGAUUAGGUAGUUGGUGUGAUAAAUGCUUACCAAGCCUACGAUCUGUAGCUGGUCUGAGAGGACGAUCAGCCACACUGGGACUGAGACACGGCCCAGACUCCUACGGGAGGCAGCAGUGGGGAAUGUUGGACAAUGGGCGCAAGCCUGAUCCAGCAAUGCCGCGUGAAGGAUGAAGGUCUUCGGGUUGUAAAAUGCUUUUGUAAGGAAAGAAAAGACUUGGGUGAAAACCCUGGGAUCAUGACGGUACCGAAAGAAUAAGCACCGGCUAACUACGUG